Molecule: transfer RNA, 87 nt
Filed under: Clostridium pasteurianum BC1
Lineage: Bacteria; Bacillati; Bacillota; Clostridia; Eubacteriales; Clostridiaceae
Rfam family: tRNA
About the family: Transfer RNA (tRNA) molecules are approximately 80 nucleotides in length. Their secondary structure includes four short double-helical elements and three loops (D, anti-codon, and T loops). Further hydrogen bonds mediate the characteristic L-shaped molecular structure. tRNAs have two regions of fundamental functional importance: the anti-codon, which is responsible for specific mRNA codon recognition, and the 3' end, to which the tRNAs corresponding amino acid is attached (by aminoacyl-tRNA synthetases). tRNAs cope with the degeneracy of the genetic code in two manners: having more than one tRNA (with a specific anti-codon) for a particular amino acid; and 'wobble' base-pairing, i.e. permitting non-standard base-pairing at the 3rd anti-codon position.
Source: Rfam by way of RNAcentral
GGAGAGAUGUCCGAGAGGUCGAAGGUGGCAGCCUCGAAAACUGCUGUGGGGGUGACUCCGCCAAGGGUUCGAAUCCCUUUCUCUCCG